This is a non-coding RNA of Nelumbo nucifera (sacred lotus), 557 nucleotides long. The record is from RefSeq and is a predicted model, not a curated record. NCBI's taxonomy places the organism in Eukaryota, Viridiplantae, Streptophyta, Magnoliopsida, Proteales, Nelumbonaceae.
UGAUGGCGAUGGCGUCAGCGGUUUCAAGAAAAUGUACAGCUAGUUGGACACUUCUAACUUCUUCACACGGUUGUUUUCCUGUUAAGAAAAAAGGUCCUACUUGGUUAUCCAAUUGAUUGAUUGCUCUUCGUUGUGCUAUUGUGUUUCGAACUUUCUUUCAUUGAAUUCCUCGACUUAUUCUUCUGAUGUGUGGCAAUGGAGUGCGAUGCUAUUGCCUGGUUCAUUGCGGAGCUUAAUAAUUUGCAAGGAGAGCAAAGAAAAAAAGGAGGAAAAUUAUUUCAAUUUACAGGGGAUCAUAUUGGAUCUGAGGCUUCAGAACAUGUAGGUGUAUCUUGUCCCCCCCAUAACUUGCCACUGGAUGCAUUCCCUCCAAGAGAUCAAUGUGAUGAGAUUGCCUAUAUAUAACAUAGGUGUAUCUUGUUUAUUAGUUAUGCAGUUACAGGUCUAAGCUAGUUGGGCUGGGCUUUGUUUCUUAUUGUUUAGUUGUUGCUACCUUAUGAGGAACAGACAUGUACUUACACAUUCUAUUCUUAAAGUAUAAACAGAAGUUGGUGUUC